This is a non-coding RNA of Prunus avium (sweet cherry), 890 nucleotides long. NCBI's taxonomy places the organism in Eukaryota, Viridiplantae, Streptophyta, Magnoliopsida, Rosales, Rosaceae. The record is from RefSeq and is a predicted model, not a curated record.
UUUUAUAUUUUAUGGGGCAAAGGGGUGGGGCUGGAUCUAUGGUUGGGGUGGGAAUGUGUGUCGGAAAACCGCAGCCAACCAGUCAGAAAAUUCGGGAUAAAGCGAUAUAUAUUCAUGACCCACAAUUUUAUUUUCUUUAUUUUAUUCAAAAUUGGGAGGCUAACCAAAUCUUCAAUCAAUCACUACCCAACAUCCAUUUGCACACGGAAAAGGCAAAAGAUGGAAAAUACCAGAAUUGCAAAGAAAACAGAGGAUUUUCGAAGAAGAAGAAAGAAGAAGAAACCUGUUGAAGAAUAACCCAUUAAAAGUUUUUCAUUUGGUUUUUAGUUUCUCUUUUCUGGCUUAGUUUUCUGCAACCAAAGUUUCAGCUUCGUAUAUCCAGUCUCUUAUUGCUUAAUUCCCUGUUGAAGAAUCAAACUUUGAGGCUGGGUUUUGGCUGUCUCUCUGUGAACCUCUCUCUCUCUCCUCUCUUUUUCUCUGUCUUUGUGUGUCUCUGUCACUCUCUAUCUCAGUCUAUGAACUCGCAACAAGGAAGGGGUUUGGUCGGCAAAGCUAUGAACUCGCGAAGAAGUAGGCAUGGGUGGUAGGCAUGGGUGCCUUGAUGGUUUUUGGCGAUGGCUAGGUGGUGGUCGGUAGACGAUAUUUUGGAGACAGAGCGAAAGAGAGGGAGAGACAGAGCGAAAGGACGUUUUUACCCCUCAUUUUGACAGAUAAAUUGACAGAGUUGGACGGUAGGACCCAAUUGCAACUAAUUGUUUAAUUAAAGGAUGUUAUUGUCACAAAAAUUAGUUCGCGGACCCAAUUGCAACUGGGGCCAUAAUUCAAGGACAUCUACAAUAAUUAAACUUUUUUUUCCUGAUGAAUCUCUAUUUAAACUUACGUUUACAUAA